GUUGUAAACCAAAGCUAUAUAAUGCGGUGUCACUCUGCAAUAAACGCCAUUUGCCGUCCACCACAUUGGUGUCUGCGUGCUAAUGGACCCCGCGAUCGCGAGCAGGUGAUUGCCUGUGCCGACCCUAAACCAGGCCACCGUGCCUCGGAGAGGCAGCAAGUGGUGCCGAAACCCGGGAAUUUCGCCUGGAGUGGCGUGCGGCGGCCGGAGCGGCGGGUCCAGCCCGGCGGGGAGGACGCUCCCAGACCUUCAGGGACGAUGGAGGCCCUUGUGAAGGUUGUAUCAGAAUGGGGUAUUGAUUGUAAACCUAAAGAUUUUACUCUCGCCGUUGCGAGACUUUUGCAGAUUGGGGUCAUUGACCAGGCGGUGGAUAUUCUCCACCCAGAAGUGUGGCCUAAAUGCACCACAGCAUUAGCCGAGGAGACGAUGUCCUCGGGUUGUGGGAAAUAUCUUAAGUUGUGGGGGAAAGUUAAACAAGCUCUGCAAAAGGCCAUGCAGGAGCGGGAUAUCUGGAGGGUGGCGAGGGACUGUCUGUCUGUUACCCCUAAAUUGGGAGUUGGGGCGGCCACGCAGACUCCGCGCCCACCAGAUGAUGGCACUUUUACCGAGUCUAAAGACUCGCGGGAGGGCGCUAUGCCCCCCGAUUCCCAGAACCCCGACCCGCUUACGGAGGGACAAAAUCGCGCAAAAUCCUUUUGGGGCGGGCUUGCUGAAGAGGCCAGGAGUGCCGCGGAGAAAUCAGAGCCCAAAGACGCCUGGGCUGGACCACCGCCCUAUACGCCCCAAGAUGGCGCCGAGCGGCAGGGGGAAGGGCGGGGCAAACACGCCCCAUGCGAGAACAAGGAGGAAGCACUAGCACUAACAAGCACGGAUAAACAGGAAGGGGAGGGAAGCGCGAGUACGGGGCGGACAGCCAAUCAGAACGACCGUCCGGAAAUAUGCCCUUGUAAGGCACAUGCCCCCCCCACUAACAGGCGGGGCGAACAGAGNNNNNNNNNNGCCUGUGCCGACCCUAAACCAGGCCACCGUGCCUCGGAGAGGCAGCAGUUUCACGUCAUCAUAUUAUUUGGGGGAUGAAAGAUAUCUUUGAUUAAAUUAUUUUAUUUCAUUCUUUAUUAUC
RNAcentral lists this long non-coding RNA (1120 nucleotides) under Amazona collaria (yellow-billed parrot). RNAcentral's name for it is "lncRNA (ENSACOG00000014366.1)". The record is from RNAcentral. Lineage: Eukaryota; Metazoa; Chordata; Aves; Psittaciformes; Psittacidae.